GGAUGAACGUUGGCGGCGUGCCUAAUACAUGCAAGUCGAACGAAGACUGUAGUAAUACUGUCUUAGUGGCGAACGGGUGAGUAACGCGUGGGUGACCUGCCCCGAAGUGUGGGAUAACAGUUCGAAAGAACUGCUAAUACCGCAUAAUAUCCAAGAGAUUAGACGCUUUUGGAUUAAAGGAGUAAUUCGCUUCGGGAGGGGCCCGCGUCCCAUCAGCUAGUUGGUAAGGUAAUGGCUUACCAAGGCGAUGACGGGUAGGGGACCUGAGAGGGUGGCCCCCCACAAUGGAACUGAAACACGGUCCAUACACCUACGGGUGGCAGCAGUAGGGAAUAUUAGUAAUGGGCGAAAGCCUGAACUAGCAACACCGCGUGUGCGAAGAAGGCCUUCGGGUCGUAAAGCACUUUUUGGAAGGAAUAGGAAGGAAUGUACUUCCAGAAUAAGUCUCGGCUAACUACGUGCCAGCAGCCGCGGUAACACGUAGGAGGCAAACGUUAUCCGGAUUUACUGGGCGUAAAGCGCGUGUAGGUGGUACUGUAAGUAGGGCGUGAAAGCUCCUGGCUCAACUGGGAGAGGCCGUUCUAAACUACAGGACUAGAGGAUGGUAGAGGGAGGUGGAAUUCCAGGUGUAGCGGUGGAAUGCGCAGAUAUCUGGAGGAACACCGGUGGCGAAGGCGGCCUCCUGGACCAUUCCUGACACUCAGACGCGAAAGCUAGGGUAGCAAACGGGAUUAGAGACCCCGGUAGUCCUAGCCCUAAACGAUGUAGACUAGGCGUCGGAAGCUUAAUCGCUUUCGGUGUCCAAGCUAACGCGAUAAGUCUACCGCCUGGGGACUACGGCCGCAAGGUUAAAACUCAAAGGAAUUGACGGGUCCCCGCACAAGCAGCGGAGCGUGUGGUUUAAUUCGUUGCUACACGAAGAACCUUACCUGGGUUUGACAUAGCAGUGGUAGGGAAGCGAAAGCGGACCGACCCUUCGGGGAGCUGUUACAGGUGUUGCAUGGCUGUCGUCAGCUCGUGUCGUGAGAUGUUCGGUUAAGUCCGCUAACGAGCGCAACCCGCGUUGUGUGUUACAAGUAUCACACAAUACCGCCGGUAUUAAGUCGGAGGAAGGUGCGGAUGACGUCAAGUCAGCAUGACCUUUAUAUCCAGGGCUACACACACGCUACAAUGGUCAGCACAAUAGGUUGCCAAGUCGUGAGACGGAGCCAAUCCUCCAAAGCUGGCCUCAGUUCAGAUUGCAGGCUGCAACUCGCCUGCAUGAAGUUGGAGUUGCUAGUAACCGCAGGUCAGCUAUACUGCGGUGAAUACGUUCCCGGGGAU
RNAcentral lists this ribosomal RNA (1323 nucleotides) under uncultured bacterium. RNAcentral describes it as "bacterial SSU rRNA". It matches the Rfam family "Bacterial small subunit ribosomal RNA", at positions 27 to 1381 of the family's 1533-position model. The record is from RNAcentral.